AGAGAGAGCGGUAAUGUUUCGAUACGGCGAGGCAUUAUUUACAAUCUUUUUUCUUCCUUUCGAAACAUUUCUGAUAUGAAAUUGUAAUCAAAUGUGUCAGUUUCGAUUCGAACGUACAGCAGUCGGCAGAUAUUUUCAAUUAUGGCUAACGAUAAAAUUCAAUCCGACGAAAAUGUCCAACAAAAAUUUCGCAAUUUUAUUUACUUUUAUUUUAUUGUCUUUUAUUUUAUUUGUGUACCUCUUUAUUUUGGUAUAAUAUACAUGUUCGCGCAAAUUUUUACUCAAUUAUUAUUUAUGACUUCUUACUCAAUUGUUGACCUGUGAUAUCUAUAAGCUUGGAAGAAUAUCGAUUAUAGACGACAUCAUUUUCUUGAUAAAAUAAAAAAAAUGCAUACUUUAAAAUUUUUUUUAAAAUAUCGGCAUUACUUUAAAAUUUUUAUGAAAUAUUCAUAUCUGACCGCGCUAAUCACAUAAGAUUAAUUAACAGCUCUCUAUAAUAGAAAGCGUAUUUAAUAUAUGACGAAACAUAUAUACAAACAACAAUGUAAUUCAAAAAAACUAUUAAUAUGAAUCUGCAUAUAUGACAUAAAUUCAAACUGAAGCAGGAGGACACAAAAACAAGCCAACUAUACAGAUAUUAAAAUCGCGAUUUAUACGGUUUACACGGCUGAAAUCAUGGCUUUGCGAUUUGAUGAUUAUCAGUUAUCUUUAAUAAUAACAAGCAAAAAGAUAGGAAAUUAAAAUGUAAAAUUAGUGCGUGUAUAUAUUUGAGUCUGAACUGUUAUCGCCAAUUAAUAUAAUGAAGAAUCGUGUUUUGUCGUGUUCCUUUCUAUGCGUUCUUAUUUUACACUCUAAUCGACAAGCAAUCUAUUAUUUAUUGUGCUGAUGUAUGCGCGUAAAUAUAUAAUUUUCUUUCUACAUUUAGUACAAAUUGACAAAAAAGGUUAUUACAAUUACAUAGUAAUCACUUUAUAUUAUAGCGUAUAAUCGAAAUAGCAUAAAAUCGAGAUAUUAUCGAAUUUAAUAUAUCUCACAUUUUAACUCUGUAGUGUCGUAAGCGAAAAUAUCUCAAAUAUUUUUAUUAUCCUUUUAAUAGAAUUAUAACAAUAUUAUAUUAAUGACAUUAAUAAAUUUACAAUACAUUGACAUAUUUUAUUUGAAAACGAGAAAUAUAAUUUACAAUCAUGCUAUAAAUACAACUACAUAAUGUAAAAAUAUUUUUACAAGGUGAAAAAGACAAAAAGAGAAACGUUUAUA
Cataglyphis hispanica is the source of this 1257-nucleotide long non-coding RNA. RefSeq lists it as uncharacterized. The record is from RefSeq and is a predicted model, not a curated record. The transcript has 3 exons. NCBI's taxonomy places the organism in Eukaryota, Metazoa, Arthropoda, Insecta, Hymenoptera, Formicidae.